UUAAAUUGAAGAGUUUGAUCAUGGCUCAGAUUGAACGCUGGCGGCAGGCCUAACACAUGCAAGUCGAACGGUAACAGGAAGCAGCUUGCUGCUUUGCUGACGAGUGGCGGACGGGUGAGUAAUGUCUGGGAAACUGCCNUGAUGGAGGGGGAUAACUACUGGAAACGGUAGCUAAUACCGCAUAACGUCGCAAGACCAAAGAGGGGGACCUUMGGGCCUCUUGCCAUCGGAUGUGCCCAGAUGGGAUUAGCUAGUAGGUGGGGUAACGGCUCACCUAGGCGACGAUCCCUAGCUGGUCUGAGAGGAUGACCAGCCACACUGGAACUGAGACACGGUCCAGACUCCUACGGGAGGCAGCAGUGGGGAAUAUUGCACAAUGGGCGCAAGCCUGAUGCAGCCAUGCCGCGUGUAUGAAGAAGGCCUUCGGGUUGUAAAGUACUUUCAGCGGGGAGGAAGGGAGUAAAGUUAAUACCUUUGCUCAUUGACGUUACCCGCAGAAGAAGCACCGGCUAACUCCGUGCCAGCAGCCGCGGUAAUACGGAGGGUGCAAGCGUUAAUCGGAAUUACUGGGCGUAAAGCGCACGCAGGCGGUUUGUUAAGUCAGAUGUGAAAUCCCCGGGCUCAACCUGGGAACUGCAUCUGAUACUGGCAAGCUUGAGUCUCGUAGAGGGGGGUAGAAUUCCAGGUGUAGCGGUGAAAUGCGUAGAGAUCUGGAGGAAUACCGGUGGCGAAGGCGGCCCCCUGGACGAAGACUGACGCUCAGGUGCGAAAGCGUGGGGAGCAAACAGGAUUAGAUACCCUGGUAGUCCACGCCGUAAACGAUGUCGACUUGGAGGUUGUGCCCUUGAGGCGUGGCUUCCGGAGCUAACGCGUUAAGUCGACCGCCUGGGGAGUACGGCCGCAAGGUUAAAACUCAAAUGAAUUGACGGGGGCCCGCACAAGCGGUGGAGCAUGUGGUUUAAUUCGAUGCAACGCGAAGAACCUUACCUGGUCUUGACAUCCACGGAAGUUUUCAGAGAUGAGAAUGUGCCUUCGGGAACCGUGAGACAGGUGCUGCAUGGCUGUCGUCAGCUCGUGUUGUGAAAUGUUGGGUUAAGUCCCGCAACGAGCGCAACCCUUAUCCUUUGUUGCCAGCGGUCCGGCCGGGAACUCAAAGGAGACUGCCAGUGAUAAACUGGAGGAAGGUGGGGAUGACGUCAAGUCAUCAUGGCCCUUACGACCAGGGCUACACACGUGCUACAAUGGCGCAUACAAAGAGAAGCGACCUCGCGAGAGCAAGCGGACCUCAUAAAGUGCGUCGUAGUCCGGAUUGGAGUCUGCAACUCGACUCCAUGAAGUCGGAAUCGCUAGUAAUCGUGGAUCAGAAUGCCACGGUGAAUACGUUCCCGGGCCUUGUACACACCGCCCGUCACACCAUGGGAGUGGGUUGCAAAAGAAGUAGGUAGCUUAACCUUCGGGAGGGCGCUUACCACUUUGUGAUUCAUGACUGGGGUGAAGUCGUAACAAGGUAACCGUAGGGGAACCUGCGGUUGGAUCACCUCCUUACCUUAAAGAAGC
This 1557-nucleotide ribosomal RNA is filed under the name Escherichia coli. Its description in RNAcentral is "bacterial SSU rRNA". It matches the Rfam family "Bacterial small subunit ribosomal RNA". Lineage: Bacteria; Pseudomonadati; Pseudomonadota; Gammaproteobacteria; Enterobacterales; Enterobacteriaceae. The record is from RNAcentral.